UGGACGAUAGCACAAUCGGUAGUGCGCCCGGCUGUUAACCGGGGGGUUGCAGGUUCGAAUCCUGCUCGUCCAG
RNAcentral lists this transfer RNA (73 nucleotides) under Candidatus Dojkabacteria bacterium. Its description in RNAcentral is "tRNA-Asn". It matches the Rfam family "tRNA". Rfam says of the family: Transfer RNA (tRNA) molecules are approximately 80 nucleotides in length. Their secondary structure includes four short double-helical elements and three loops (D, anti-codon, and T loops). The record is from RNAcentral.